This 812-nucleotide ribosomal RNA is filed under the name uncultured bacterium. RNAcentral's name for it is "bacterial SSU rRNA". It matches the Rfam family "Bacterial small subunit ribosomal RNA", at positions 1 to 807 of the family's 1533-position model. The record is from RNAcentral.
GAAUUCGCCCUUAGAGUUUGAUCCUGGCUCAGGACGAACGCUGGCGGCGUGCUUAACACAUGCAAGUCGAACGAGAAUCUGUGGAUCGAGGAUUCGUCCAAGUGAAGCAGAGGACAGUGGCGGACGGGUGAGUAACGCGUGAGGAACCUGCCUUUCAGAGGGGGACAACAGUUGGAAACGACUGCUAAUACCGCAUGAUACAUUUGGGUGGCAUCAUCUGAAUGUCAAAGAUUUAUCGCUGAAAGAUGGCCUCGCGUCUGAUUAGCUGGUUGGUGAGGUAACGGCCCACCAAGGCGACGAUCAGUAGCCGGACUGAGAGGUUGACCGGCCACAUUGGGACUGAGAUACGGCCCAGACUCCUACGGGAGGCAGCAGUGGGGAAUAUUGGGCAAUGGGCGCAAGCCUGACCCAGCAACGCCGCGUGAAGGAAGAAGGCUUUCGGGUUGUAAACUACUUUUAAGAGGGAAGAGCAGAAGACUGUACCUCUAGAAUAAGCCACGGCUAACUACGUGCCAGCAGCCGCGGUAAUACGUAGGUGGCAAGCGUUGUCCGGAUUUACUGGGUGUAAAGGGCGUGCAGCCGGGAAUGCAAGUCAGAUGUGAAAUCCAUGGGCUUAACCCAUGAACUGCAUUUGAAACUGUAUUUCUUGAGUACUGGAGAGGCAAUCGGAAUUCCUAGUGUAGCGGUGAAAUGCGUAGAUAUUAGGAGGAACACCAGUGGCGAAGGCGGAUUGCUGGACAGCAACUGACGGUGAGGCGCGAAAGUGUGGGGAGCAAACAGGAUUAGAUACCCUGGUAGUCCACACUGUAAAC